GAAGAAAGCUGGCGGCGCGCUUAACACAUGCAAGUCGAACGGAAAGGCCUGCUUUCCCUUGUGGAUUGCGGGUACUCGAGUGGCGAACGGGUGAGUAACACGUGAGUGAUCUGCCCCCAACUUGGGUAUAAGCCUGGGAAACUGGGUCUAAUUCCCGAUAGGACUGCAGGGUGGUGCCUGUGGUGGAAAACGAUUUUCUAGUGGUUGGGGAUGAGCUCGCGGCCUAUCAGCUUGUUGGUGGGGUAAUGGCCUACCAAGGCGGCGACGGGUAGCCGGCCUGAGAGGGUGGACGGCCACAUUGGGACUGAGAUACGGCCCAGACUCCUACGGGAGGCAGCAGUGGGGAAUAUUGCACAAUGGGCGGAAGCCUGAUGCAGCGACGCCGCGUGGGGGAUGACGGCCUUCGGGUUGUAAACUCCUUUCGACCGCGAGGAAGCCACCUGGUUGGAAGGGUGGUGACGGUAGUGGUAGAAGAAGCACCGGCUAACUACGUG
This 494-nucleotide ribosomal RNA is filed under the name uncultured bacterium. Its description in RNAcentral is "partial 16S ribosomal RNA". It matches the Rfam family "Bacterial small subunit ribosomal RNA", at positions 28 to 507 of the family's 1533-position model. The record is from RNAcentral.